AUACGUAGGGGGCAAGCGUUGUCCGGAUUUAUUGGGCGUAAAGGGUUCGCAGGCGGCCUUUUAAGUCAGAUGUGAAAGAUCAAGGCUUAACCUUGGUAAGCAUUUGAAACUGAAAGGCUUGAGUUAAGGAGAGGAAAGUGGAAUUCCUAGUGUAGCGGUGAAAUGCGUAGAUAUUAGGAGGAAUACCAGUGGCGAAGGCGACUUUCUGGACUUAUACUGACGCUGAGGAACGAAAGCAUGGGGAGCAAACAGGAUUAGAUACCCUGGUAGUCCAUGCCGUAAACGAUGAGUGCUAGGUGUCGGGGGUCAAACCUCGGUGCCGGAGCUAACGCAUUAAGCACUCCGCCUGGGGAGUACGUACGCAAGUAUGAA
Molecule: ribosomal RNA, 372 nt
Filed under: uncultured bacterium
Lineage: Bacteria
Description: bacterial SSU rRNA
Rfam family: Bacterial small subunit ribosomal RNA
Source: RNAcentral